This 829-nucleotide ribosomal RNA is filed under the name uncultured Ascomycota. RNAcentral describes it as "SSU rRNA". It matches the Rfam family "Eukaryotic small subunit ribosomal RNA", at positions 564 to 1422 of the family's 1831-position model. The record is from RNAcentral. Lineage: Eukaryota; Fungi; Ascomycota.
GUGCCAGCCGCCGCGGUAAUUCCAGCUCCAAUAGCGUAUAUUAAAGUUGUUGUGGUUAAAAAGCUCGUAGUUGAACCUUGGGCCUGGCUGGCCGGUCCGCCUCACCGCGUGCACUGGUCCGGCCGGGCCUUUCCCUCUGUGGAACCCCAUACCCUUCACUGGGCGUGGCGGGGAAACAGGACAUUUACUUUGAAAAAAUUAGAGUGCUCCAGGCAGGCCUAUGCUCGAAUACAUUAGCAUGGAAUAAUAAAAUAGGACGCGCGGUUCUAUUUUGUUGGUUUAUAGGACCGCCGUAAUGAUUAAUAGGGACAGUCGGGGGCAUCAGUAUUCAACUGUCAGAGGUGAAAUUCUUGGAUCAGUUGAAGACUAACUACUGCGAAAGCAUUUGCCAAGGAUGUUUUCAUUAAUCAGGAACGAAAGUUAGGGGAUCGAAGACGAUCAGAUACCGUCGUAGUCUUAACCAUAAACUAUGCCGACUAGGGAUCGGACGGUGUUAUUCAUGACCCGUUCGGCACCUUACGAGAAAUCAAAGUGCUUGGGCUCCAGGGGGAGUAUGGUCGCAAGGCUGAAACUUAAAGAAAUUGACGGAAGGGCACCACCAGGGGUGGAGCCUGCGGCUUAAUUUGACUCAACACGGGGAAACUCACCAGGUCCAGACACAAUAAGGAUUGACAGAUUGAGAGCUCUUUCUUGAUUUUGUGGGUGGUGGUGCAUGGCCGUUCUUAGUUGGUGGGGUGACUUGUCUGCUUAAUUGCGAUAACGAACGAGACCUUAACCUGCUAAAUAGCCCGCAUUGCUCCGGCAGUGCGCUGGCUUCUUAGAGGGACUU